RNAcentral lists this ribosomal RNA (446 nucleotides) under uncultured soil bacterium. RNAcentral describes it as "bacterial SSU rRNA". It matches the Rfam family "Bacterial small subunit ribosomal RNA", at positions 26 to 518 of the family's 1533-position model. The record is from RNAcentral.
AGAACGAACGCUGGCGGCAUGCCUAACACAUGCAAGUCGAACGAGACCUUCGGGUCUAGUGGCGCACGGGUGCGUAACGCGUGGGAACCUGCCCUUAGGUUCGGAAUAACUCCUCGAAAGGGGUGCUAAUACCGGAUGAUGUCUUCGGACCAAAGAUUUAUCGCCUAUGGAUGGGCCCGCGUUGGAUUAGCUAGUUGGUGAGGUAAAGGCUCACCAAGGCGACGAUCCAUAGCUGGUCUUAGAGGAUGAUCAGCCACACUGGGACUGAGACACGGCCCAGACUCCUACGGGAGCAGCAGUGGGGAAUAUUGGACAAGUGGGCGAAAGCCUGAUCCAGCAAUGCCGCGUGAGUGAUGAAGGCCUUAGGUGUAAAGCUCUUUUACCGGGAUGAUAAUGACAGUACCGGAGAACUAAGCCCCGACUAACUCCGUAGCCCAGCAGCCGAC